RNAcentral lists this ribosomal RNA (656 nucleotides) under Cronobacter sp. EKM101R. RNAcentral describes it as "bacterial SSU rRNA". It matches the Rfam family "Bacterial small subunit ribosomal RNA", at positions 833 to 1488 of the family's 1533-position model. The record is from RNAcentral. Lineage: Bacteria; Pseudomonadati; Pseudomonadota; Gammaproteobacteria; Enterobacterales; Enterobacteriaceae.
UGAGGCGUGGCUUCCGGAGCUAACGCGUUAAGUCGACCGCCUGGGGAGUACGGCCGCAAGGUUAAAACUCAAAUGAAUUGACGGGGGCCCGCACAAGCGGUGGAGCAUGUGGUUUAAUUCGAUGCAACGCGAAGAACCUUACCUGGUCUUGACAUCCAGAGAAUCCUGCAGAGAUGCGGGAGUGCCUUCGGGAACUCUGAGACAGGUGCUGCAUGGCUGUCGUCAGCUCGUGUUGUGAAAUGUUGGGUUAAGUCCCGCAACGAGCGCAACCCUUAUCCUUUGUUGCCAGCACAUAAUGGUGGGAACUCAAAGGAGACUGCCGGUGAUAAACCGGAGGAAGGUGGGGAUGACGUCAAGUCAUCAUGGCCCUUACGACCAGGGCUACACACGUGCUACAAUGGCGCAUACAAAGAGAAGCGAACUCGCGAGAGCAAGCGGACCUCAUAAAGUGCGUCGUAGUCCGGAUUGGAGUCUGCAACUCGACUCCAUGAAGUCGGAAUCGCUAGUAAUCGUGGAUCAGAAUGCCACGGUGAAUACGUUCCCGGGCCUUGUACACACCGCCCGUCACACCAUGGGAGUGGGUUGCAAAAGAAGUAGGUAGCUUAACCUUCGGGAGGGCGCUUACCACUUUGUGAUUCAUGACUGGGGUGAAGUCG